GAAUUCGCCCUUAGAGUUUGAUCCUGGCUCAGGACGAACGCUGGCGGCGCGCCUAACACAUGCAAGUCGAACGAGCGAGAGGAGGUUUACUUUCUCAAGCGAGUGGCGAACGGGUGAGUAACGCGUGAGGAACCUGCCUCAAAGAGGGGGACAACAGUUGGAAACGACUGCUAAUACCGCAUAAGCCCACGACCCGGCAUCGGGUAGAGGGAAAAGGAGCAAUCCGCUUUGAGAUGGCCUCGCGUCCGAUUAGCUAGUUGGUGAGGUAAUGGCCCACCAAGGCGACGAUCGGUAGCCGGACUGAGAGGUUGAACGGCCACAUUGGGACUGAGACACGGCCCAGACUCCUACGGGAGGCAGCAGUGGGGAAUAUUGCACAAUGGGGGAAACCCUGAUGCAGCGACGCCGCGUGGAGGAAGAAGGUCUUCGGAUUGUAAACUCCUGUUGUUGAGGAAGAUAAUGACGGUACUCAACAAGGAAGUGACGGCUAACUACGUGCCAGCAGCCGCGGUAAAACGUAGGUCACAAGCGUUGUCCGGAAUUACUGGGUGUAAAGGGAGCGCAGGCGGGAAGACAAGUUGGAAGUGAAAUCUAUGGGCUCAACCCAUAAACUGCUUUCAAAACUGUUUUUCUUGAGUAGUGCAGAGGUAGGCGGAAUUCCCCGGUGUAGCGGUGGAAUGCGUAGAUAUCGGGAGGAACACCAGUGGCGAAGGCGGCCUACUGGGCACCAACUGACGCUGAGGCUCGAAAGUGUGGGUAGCAAACAGGAUUAGAUACCCUGGUAGUCCACACCGUAAACGAUGAUUACUAGGUGUUGGAGGAUUGACCCCUUCAGUGCCGCAGUUAACACAAUAAGUAAUCCACCUGGGGAGUACGACCGCAAGGUUGAAACUCAAAGGAAUUGACGGGGGCCCGCACAAGCAGUGGAGUAUGUGGUUUAAUUCGACGCAACGCGAAGAACCUUACCAAGUCUUGACAUCCUGCGACGAUGCUGGAAACAGUAUUUUCCUUCGGGACGCAGAGACAGGUGGUGCAUGGUUGUCGUCAGCUCGUGUCGUGAGAUGUUGGGUUAAGUCCCGCAACGAGCGCAACCCUUACUGUCAGUUACUACGCAAGAGGACUCUGGCAGGACUGCCGUUGACAAAACGGAGGAAGGUGGGGAUGACGUCAAAUCAUCAUGCCCUUUAUGACUUGGGCUACACACGUACUACAAUGGCGUUAAACAAAGAGAAGCAAGACCGCGAGGUGGAGCAAAACUCAGAAACAACGUCCCAGUUCGGACUGCAGGCUGCAACUCGCCUGCACGAAGUCGGAAUUGCUAGUAAUCGUGGAUCAGCAUGCCACGGUGAAUACGUUCCCGGGCCGUGUACACACCGCCCGUCA
RNAcentral lists this ribosomal RNA (1383 nucleotides) under uncultured bacterium. RNAcentral's name for it is "bacterial SSU rRNA". It matches the Rfam family "Bacterial small subunit ribosomal RNA". The record is from RNAcentral.